Molecule: non-coding RNA, 91 nt
Organism: Pterulicium gracile
Lineage: Eukaryota; Fungi; Basidiomycota; Agaricomycetes; Agaricales; Pterulaceae
Source: the annotation of a GenBank genome assembly
GGCGUUAUAGUGUAGUGGUCAUCACUCGGGAUUUUGACUGCAAUGUGGUGGAGAAUUUCCCGUAACCCAGGUUCGAACCCUGGUAAUGCCA